AACAUUUUAAUUUGAAAUAUGAACGUACUGAAAGCGCGUCUUACUUGUUCACCGCGGGCCUUUUGGUUCGAGUCGCCAGGUUUUCAUAAAUAGGGUUCUCUCCGGUUGAAGCUUCACGGAUCACAUAGCGGUAGCGAGGCGAAUCUUCUGGUAGCGUCUCUGUAUAGUCCCGUUCUUUGUGGCUUCUCCUUUGUCCAAACUGAAACAUACUCCUCAUUUUACUGUGGUAGUUGUACACGAUCACACCAGCUGCGAUCAGCAGCAGUACAAAGAAGAACGUCAGGCCGACGGCUAGAUCGGUACGAGAGCUGCCGGGAGCAGAACAUGAGGCGGUGUCGUUUCCAGGGACACAGGUCAUAUUGGCAAUCAUGAUCUGAAGGUGAAACAGCUCCACUGUGCCUUCAGUGCCUGUUAGGACAACCAGAAAUAAACAACCAUGGUAGGUGCGGUGGUUGGACUCCUGGCAAAAUGAAUGUUUGAAAUGUUGAAUGUCUCUCAUGAAUUUUCAUUUGCAUGUGUUGUUUUUACUGAGCGUGAUAUAUUAUCAUACAUCAACAAUAUAUUAUCAUAAAACCCAUGGGCCUCUUUCUGUUCUGCAUGCAGCUGGAAAUUAAAUUAUCACUGCUAUACGAAAACCAGAACAGAUAUUGAAAGGGUUUCCCCCCCAAGUGAUUUAUCAUAUAAUUCAUUGAGGGAAUGUAGAAACAAAUAUAUGACAGAAAUACUUACAAUUCAUCUAAUACCUCAUGUGUCUGCAGUAAGUAUCUAACAGAAUGUUGGAAUGUGGUCAUCUAGAAAGCAGUGGGGGACAGUAUUGUAGUAUUAGUAGUAGUAUUGUAGUAUCUUCAGGUCAGCAGUGCACACACACCUGGACACAUCUGGGGAGGAGGAAGACAUUGACACUCUCUGGCCUGAGACAUUGUCACAAACAGUUUGAUCCUCGACUCUCUCAGAACUCUCAAUUGAGGUUAUUUACCGUAAACAUAUUUAAAAGUUCCUCACAAAACCAGUUUAUGUGUAAAUUAAAAGUUCGACAGAAUUGCCCAUCUGGUGACAGUACGUUUGACUGGGCACACUGGGCGACAACAUCACCUCAUUGCCUUCAAAUGCAUCCAAAGAUAAUUAAAAAAAUAAUAACUGUUAGACAGUUACAUUUGCGGUUGACCGCAGUCCAGAUGUGCAGAGCACCUCCACUCCACCCCCGCGCAGCGACGUGAGCACGCAAAGCCGAGGCAGCUGCGUCAAAUCGUAGAGAGACAACCGCGCAGAUACGAGAAACCAGACGACGUCCCCUUCAAAAUAAAAGGCUGCCAUGUCGAAAAAUAAAGUAACACUUUUUUUAGUUUUAGUCAAAGAAAAGCCUUAUUAAGUAAGUAGGUAAGUACAACCAAUGGUCAACUGAUCAGAUGCAGCGUUGAUUGGCCCUGCACACCUGCAUUUGCUGGUCUGAGACACCAUCAAGUGCUGUGAAGGUUGUCGCUAUUGAUUGAAUAAUCUAAACAUGGAUUUUAAUCAGGCGUCUUUCACUUUGAGCAAUGAAUGCAAUGAAUGGAGCAAUGAAAAUUGUUUGUUUUUUU
Molecule: long non-coding RNA, 1577 nt
Organism: Gasterosteus aculeatus aculeatus (three-spined stickleback)
Lineage: Eukaryota; Metazoa; Chordata; Actinopteri; Perciformes; Gasterosteidae
Source: Ensembl